Molecule: long non-coding RNA, 367 nt
Organism: Dromaius novaehollandiae (emu)
Lineage: Eukaryota; Metazoa; Chordata; Aves; Casuariiformes; Dromaiidae
Exons: 3
Source: RefSeq, a predicted model, not a curated record
CCUGCAGCACGUACUUCUUGUCUUCGGGGAAGGAUCUUGCUUGUCCCAGUACAUUGGAACCCGUCUGUGGGACUGAUGGUGUGACUUACCCCAACGAGUGCUUACUCUGUAGAGAAAUCUGGCGUCGCAAAAAGGUUGACAAAAAGCAUGAUGGAAAAUGCAUUCAGGCCUCCUGCAGCACGUACUUCUUGUCUUCGGGGAAAGAUCUUGCUUGUCCCAGUACAUUGGAACCCGUCUGUGGGACUGAUGGUGUGACUUACCCCAACGAGUGCUUACUCUGUAGAGAAAUCUGGUGAGAAUGAGUUCUCCCGAUCACUUAAAAUACCAGCUCAAGUAGCAGACAACAAAAGCCUUUGGUACUGUGACU